Molecule: ribosomal RNA, 437 nt
Filed under: uncultured bacterium
Lineage: Bacteria
Description: partial 16S ribosomal RNA
Rfam family: Bacterial small subunit ribosomal RNA
Source: RNAcentral
GAUGAACGCUGGCGGCAUGCUUUACACAUGCAAGUCGGACGGGAAGUGGUGUUUCCAGUGGCGGCCGGGUGAGUAACGCGUAAGAACCUGCCCUUGGGAGGGGAACAACAGCUGGAAACGGCUGCUAAUACCCCGUAGGCUGAGGAGCGAAAGGAGGAAUCCGCCCAAGGAGGGGCUCGCGUCUGAUUAGCUAGUUGGUGAGGUAAUAGCUUACCAAGGCCGUGAUCAGUAGCUGGCCCGAGAGGAUGAUCAGCCACACUGGGACUGAGACAAGGCCCAGACUCCUACGGGAGGCAGCAGUGGGGAAUUCUCCGCAAUGGGCGAAAGCCUGACGGAGCAAUGCCGCGUGGAGGUAAAAGGCCUACGGGUCAUGAACUUCUUUUCCUGGAGAAGAAACAAUGACGGUACCUGGGGAAUAAGCAUCGGCUAACUCUGUG